Molecule: unclassified non-coding RNA, 233 nt
Filed under: Hevea brasiliensis (rubber tree)
Lineage: Eukaryota; Viridiplantae; Streptophyta; Magnoliopsida; Malpighiales; Euphorbiaceae
Source: RNAcentral
GCAGCUCCUUCCAUGCUUCUUCAGGUAUAUUCCCUCCUUUAUUUCCCCUGCACCAUUGAAAAACAGUAUCAUUUUCUGCAAUUGAAAGACAGUGACAACAAGAAAUGACCAGAAAGAUAUCAUCUACAUUUUCACACCUUAAAGGGCCCAGUGGGCGGAAAUCCCUUUUUUUUUUUAAUGUGUGUGAGUUUCUUUUUCUGAAACUGAUGCAUGUUUCUGGUUUGUGUUCUUAU